AUGACAGUCCUUAGAGACUCCUCUGCUUGUUUGGACUUCUUCUCAUCCUUAAAUUUGGUAGCAAGAAAUGAAGAAGAAGAGAAAUUCUUUGCUUGAGACAUUGAUUUAGCACGGUUUUUAAGGUGUUGUUGAGCUUGUCUUAAAGCAUAGUUCCACCUACAGAUACCAGCUUGAUCUUUCAAAGCUUCCACAACUCCAACACUUGCAGCCACCAUCCAGGCUUUGCUUGUUGCUGUUGCACGAUUCAUGAUUUUUGGUUGUUAGUUUUUGGAUUGGAUAUCAAAAUAUAGAAGAAGUAGAUAGU
This 304-nucleotide long non-coding RNA is filed under the name Medicago truncatula (barrel medic). RNAcentral describes it as "lncRNA gene11893". The record is from RNAcentral. Lineage: Eukaryota; Viridiplantae; Streptophyta; Magnoliopsida; Fabales; Fabaceae.